GAUGAACGCUGGCGGCGUGCCUAAUACAUGCAAGUCGAGCGAACAGACGAGGAGCUUGCUCCUCUGACGUUAGCGGCGGACGGGUGAGUAACACGUGGAUAACCUACCUAUAAGACUGGGAUAACUUCGGGAAACCGGAGCUAAUACCGGAUAAUAUAUUGAACCGCAUGGUUCAAUAGUGAAAGACGGUGUUGCUGUCACUUAUAGAUGGAUCCGCGCCGCAUUAGCUAGUUGGUAAGGUAACGGCUUACCAAGGCGACGAUGCGUAGCCGACCUGAGAGGGUGAUCGCCCACACUGGAACUGAGACACGGUCCAGACUCCUACGGGAGGCAGCAGUAGGGAAUCUUCCGCAAUGGGCGAAAGCCUGACGGAGCAACGCCGCGUGAGUGAUGAAGGUCUUCGGAUCGUAAAACUCUGUUAUUAGGGAAGAACAAAUGUGUAAGUAACUAUGCACGUCUUGACGGUACCUAAUCAGAAAGCCACGGCUAACUACGUG
RNAcentral lists this ribosomal RNA (497 nucleotides) under uncultured bacterium. RNAcentral's name for it is "partial 16S ribosomal RNA". It matches the Rfam family "Bacterial small subunit ribosomal RNA", at positions 28 to 507 of the family's 1533-position model. The record is from RNAcentral.